This 389-nucleotide ribosomal RNA is filed under the name uncultured bacterium. RNAcentral describes it as "bacterial SSU rRNA". It matches the Rfam family "Bacterial small subunit ribosomal RNA", at positions 28 to 417 of the family's 1533-position model. The record is from RNAcentral.
GACGAACGCUGGCGGCGUGCUUAACACAUGCAAGUCGAGCGGUAAGGCCCCUUCGGGGGUACGACGAGCGGCGAACGGGUGAGUAACACGUGGGUGACCUGCCCUCAGCUCUGGGAUAAGCCUGGGAAACUGGGUCUAAUACCGGAUAUGACUCCAUGACGCAUGUCGUGGGGUGGAAAGCCUUGUGCGGCUAGGGAUGGGCCCGCGGCCUAUCAGCUUGUUGGUGGGGUGAUGGCCUACCAAGGCGACGACGGGUAGCCGGCCUGAGAGGGCGACCGGCCACACUGGGACUGAGAUACGGCCCAGACUCCUACGGGAGGCAGCAGUGGGGAAUCUUGCGCAAUGGGCGAAAGCCUGACGCAGCGACGCCGCGUGAGGGAUGACGGCCU